Long non-coding RNA from Mesocricetus auratus (golden hamster), 1367 nucleotides. RefSeq lists it as uncharacterized. The record is from RefSeq and is a predicted model, not a curated record. Lineage: Eukaryota; Metazoa; Chordata; Mammalia; Rodentia; Cricetidae. The transcript has 3 exons.
UGGCCUAGCCAUUGCUGGUAGUGGUGGAGUGGCAGCCGCUAAAUAUGAUAGCCGUACUUUAAAAGGAAGCAACAGUUAGAAAAGAAAACCAACACCUCUCUCCCUCUGUCUGUCUGUUCCUUUCUCUCUGUUAGCCCCCUCUCUGUCUCUCUUCUCUCCUCUGCUGCUCCUGUCCCCAGAGGCCGGUCUCCCCCGCCCUCCCCCCUUUUCCCAUUCACUCUUCCCUAAUAAAAACCCCUCCACCUAAGCUCUGCCGCAUGGCGUCUUUUUCUGGAGCACCGCUUUUUAAAGUUACGCCUUGGGAGAAACAGAUGAGAGAGGAGCACAGAGCACGGCUGUGACACGCAACGUUUCCCCCUUGUCCUUGAGGCCCUGCCCAGUGUCCAGAGAUGUAGAAUUCCCAGCUUCCUCUCCAGCACCAUGUCUGCCUGCAGGACCCCGAGCUUCCAGCCACGACUCAGCUAUGAACCUUCUACAGCACCAAUGAUGAGCAGCCAUGGUAUGCUCACGGAUGGCGGCCUCUGAAGCCCAUACCUGGCUGAACUGUGUUCCCCUCCAGUUCACAAGUCAGGGUCCCAGAGCUCUGAGUGCACCUAUAUUGGUAGACAGCUCCUUUGAGACCAACAAGGACAGCAAAAGGAGGCCUCAUCUGAUCUUCUGAGAGGAAGCAGUAAGGGCCCAGAGUCGGACAGAGGGACAACCGGGUGCAGACACAGAGAGCCAUCUAUAAGCGAAGAGGCUUGAGAAGAAACCAAACCUCAGUGUUAGCCUAUGGCACUGGGAGCUGCCUGCCCACACUGUUAGGGAGCCAAACCUGGUCCACGUGGCCAGCAGGUUGACUGGCUGCAGGAGCCCGCAUGGCCAACCCUGGCCACUGUUUCCCUGCAGCGGAGACAGCAGGGAGUCCACGAUGCAAAGCUUCAUUCCAGAGCCUUGACCAGGAGGCUGCCUCUAUAUUUAUCCCACUAACUGCAGGGGAAUGUUUAUACCCAAAGAGAAGGCCUCCCCCGCGAGACGGGUCAUCUGCUCCUGGUUCCCGUAAGUCGUCAUCAUUGGGCCGCCUCCUGGAGGCUGGUGGAGGCUACUCAGCCCAAGGACAGAUGCCCUUGCAAACAAACCCAGCUCUGCUGUCUCUCAGCUUCAUUAGAAAUCUCAGUGCUUUGUAGGUACUCAACAAACAGGAGAAAUGAAUGCAGCGCCUGGGAAGAUGGCCCAGCAGAAAAAGGCACAUGCCUCCAAACCCGAGCUCAAUCCCCACAGCCUGUACGGUGGAGAGAGAAAACUGACUCCUGAAAGCUGUUGUCUGGCGUCCACUUGCCCACUGUAGCAGGCAUGCACACGUGCAUGCAUGCAGGCUCACAUACACA